UACGUAGGGGGCGAGCGUUGUCCGGAAUGAUUGGGCGUAAAGGGCGCGUAGGCGGCCUGUUAAGUCUGGAGUGAAAGUCCUGCUUUCAAGGUGGGAAUUGCUUUGGAUACUGAUAGGCUUGAGUGCAGGAGAGGUUAUCGGAAUUCCCGGUGUAGCGGUGAAAUGCGUAGAGAUCGGGAGGAACACCAGUGGCGAAGGCGGGUAACUGGACUGCAACUGACGCUGAGGCGCGAAAGUGUGGGGAGCAA
RNAcentral lists this ribosomal RNA (248 nucleotides) under uncultured Lachnospiraceae bacterium. Its description in RNAcentral is "partial 16S ribosomal RNA". It matches the Rfam family "Bacterial small subunit ribosomal RNA", at positions 524 to 771 of the family's 1533-position model. The record is from RNAcentral. Lineage: Bacteria; Bacillati; Bacillota; Clostridia; Lachnospirales; Lachnospiraceae.